This 81-nucleotide long non-coding RNA is filed under the name Octodon degus (degu). RNAcentral describes it as "Deleted in lymphocytic leukemia 2 conserved region 5 (ENSODEG00000022332.1)". It matches the Rfam family "Deleted in lymphocytic leukemia 2 conserved region 5". Lineage: Eukaryota; Metazoa; Chordata; Mammalia; Rodentia; Octodontidae. The record is from RNAcentral.
AUAAUAUUCCAACACAAGUUAGCAUUCAAUCAAAGAACUUUGGGUAUUUUCCACAAUUGGCUUUCUUUUAAAGGUCAAAAC